GAGGAAGCAGGGCUGUAUCUGCCAGACAAGCACUGGCUGUCAUAGCACAAAGGCUCUCACUAUAACCACUUUCUCCUCCCAAACUCUUGCUGGAUACUUGAGGCAGAUCCUCAGCACCCUAGAGGCUGCGGUGCCAGGAAGGAGCUGUUGGGCCCAUGAUAGCCAAAGCCACUGAUGCUACUGGGUAAGCAGACCCAGCCACACCAAGUCCCACCCGUUCAGAUGCUACCAAGGCUCAGUAUGAGGCCAGUUUCCUCCUCCCAAAUCCCUACUGAGUAGGUGAGUGGAAUUUUCACUUUGUGAUGACCACAAUGAGAAUGAA
Corvus hawaiiensis (hawaiian crow) is the source of this 322-nucleotide long non-coding RNA. RefSeq lists it as uncharacterized. The transcript has 3 exons. Lineage: Eukaryota; Metazoa; Chordata; Aves; Passeriformes; Corvidae. The record is from RefSeq and is a predicted model, not a curated record.